This 613-nucleotide ribosomal RNA is filed under the name Curvibasidium cygneicollum. RNAcentral describes it as "eukaryotic LSU rRNA". The stretch from base 179 to 332 matches the Rfam family "5.8S ribosomal RNA". Lineage: Eukaryota; Fungi; Basidiomycota; Microbotryomycetes. The record is from RNAcentral.
UCCGUAGGUGAACCUGCGGAAGGAUCAUUAGUGAAUUUAGAGCGUAACUUCGGUUAGCUCAACCUUCAUUUUCCAACUCUGUGCACUAUUGGCGGACUGGGAGCAAGUAAUUGCUAUUCAGUCUGCGGCUCACUAUUAAACAUUAGUUAAAGUAUGUAUAUAAAAACAAAACAAAAAAAACUUUCAACAACGGAUCUCUUGGCUCUCGCAUCGAUGAAGAACGCAGCGAAAUGUGAUAAGUAAUGUGAAUUGCAGAAUUCAGUGAAUCAUCGAAUCUUUGAACGCACCUUGCGCUCUCUGGUAUUCCGGAGAGCAUGUCUGUUUGAGUGUCAUGAACUCUUCAACCUACCGAUUUCUAGUAAAUCGGAUUAGUGUUUGGAUUUUGAACGCUUGCUGGCCUUUAUUGGCGAAGCUCGUUCGUAAAUGAUUAGCAUCUCAUAUUCGAAAAUCGGAUUGACUCAGUGUAAUAGACUAUUCGCUGAGGACGCUCUUUCGGGAGUGGCCGAGUUUUGUAAAGUAGAAGCUUCUAAUUCUAUUAGUCAACUUUAGAUUAGACCUCAGAUCAGGCAGGAUUACCCGCUGAACUUAAGCAUAUCAAUAAGCGGAGGAAAAG